CCCUUAGAGUUUGAUCCUGGCUCAGGACGAACGCUGGCGGCGCGCCUAACACAUGCAAGUCGAACGAGCGAGAGGAGGUUUACUUUCUCAAGCGAGUGGCGAACGGGUGAGUAACGCGUGAGGAACCUGCCUCAAAGAGGGGGACAACAGUUGGAAACGACUGCUAAUACCGCAUAAGCCCACGACCCGGCAUCGGGUAGAGGGAAAAGGAGCAAUCCGCUUUGAGAUGGCCUCGCGUCCGAUUAGCUAGUUGGUGAGGUAAUGGCCCACCAAGGCGACGAUCGGUAGCCGGACUGAGAGGUUGAACGGCCACAUUGGGACUGAGACACGGCCCAGACUCCUACGGGAGGCAGCAGUGGGGAAUAUUGCACAAUGGGGGAAACCCUGAUGCAGCGACGCCGCGCGGAGGAAGAAGGUCUUCGGAUUGUAAACUCCUGUUGUUGAGGA
Molecule: ribosomal RNA, 447 nt
Filed under: uncultured bacterium
Lineage: Bacteria
Description: bacterial SSU rRNA
Rfam family: Bacterial small subunit ribosomal RNA
Source: RNAcentral